GACGAACCGUGCGAACGUUAUUCGGAAUCACUGGGCUUAAAGGGCGCGUAGGUGGUUGAUCAAGUCUGGGGUGAAAUCUUUCGGCUUAACCGGAAAAGUGCCUUGGAUACUGAUCAGCUGGAGGGAGGUAGGGGCAGUUGGAACUUCCAGUGGAGCGGUGAAAUGCGUUGAUAUUGGAAGGAACGCCGGUGGCGAAAGCGAACUGCUGGACCUCUUCUGACACUGAGGCGCGAAAGCCAGGGGAGCAAACGGG
This 253-nucleotide ribosomal RNA is filed under the name uncultured bacterium. Its description in RNAcentral is "partial 16S ribosomal RNA". It matches the Rfam family "Bacterial small subunit ribosomal RNA", at positions 524 to 776 of the family's 1533-position model. The record is from RNAcentral.